UCCACGCCGUAAACGAUGUCUACUAGCCGUUGGGAUCCUUGAGGUCUUAGUGGCGCAGCUAACGCAAUAAGUAGACCGCCUGGGGAGUACGGCCGCAAGGUUAAAACUCAAAUGAAUUGACGGGGGCCCGCACAAGCGGUGGAGCAUGUGGUUCAAUUCGAAGCAACGCGAAGAACCUUACCAGGUCUUGACAUCCUAGAAACUUAGCAGAAAUGCUUUGGUGCCUUCGGGAAUCUAGUGACAGGUGCUGCAUGGCUGUCGUCAGCUCGUGUCGUGAGAUGUUGGGUUAAGUCCCGUAAGAGCGCUAACCCUUGUCCUUAG
This 321-nucleotide ribosomal RNA is filed under the name uncultured Gammaproteobacteria bacterium. Its description in RNAcentral is "bacterial SSU rRNA". It matches the Rfam family "Bacterial small subunit ribosomal RNA", at positions 794 to 1114 of the family's 1533-position model. Lineage: Bacteria; Pseudomonadati; Pseudomonadota; Gammaproteobacteria. The record is from RNAcentral.